RNAcentral lists this ribosomal RNA (439 nucleotides) under uncultured bacterium. RNAcentral's name for it is "partial 16S ribosomal RNA". It matches the Rfam family "Bacterial small subunit ribosomal RNA", at positions 339 to 795 of the family's 1533-position model. The record is from RNAcentral.
CUACGGGACGCUGCAGUGGGGAAUAUUGCACAAUGGAGGAAACUCUGAUGCAGCAACGCCGCGUGGAGGGUGACACUUUUCGGAGCGUAAACUCCUUUUAUAUAGGAAGAAGAUGACGGUACUAUAUGAAUAAGCGCCGGCUAACUCCGUGCCAGCAGCCGCGGUAAUACGGAGGGCGCAAGCGUUACUCGGAAUCACUGGGCGUAAAGAGCGUGUAGGCGGAUUAAAAAGUCAGAAGUGAAAUCCUAUGGCUUAACUAUAGAACUGCUUCUGAAACUCUUAAUCUAGAAUAUGGGAGAGGUAGAUGGAAUUUCUGGUGUAGGGGUAAAAUCCGUAGAGAUCAGAAGGAAUACCGAUUGCGAAGGCGAUCUACUAGAACAUUAUUGACGCUGAGACGCGAAAGCGUGGGGAGCAAACAGGAUUAGAUACCCGGGUAGUC